AAUGAACGUUGGCGGCGUGGAUUAGGCAUGCAAGUCGAGCGGUAGGAGUUCACACACCCCGGCUCAUUUAAUUUAGCCCCCGGUCAGUGACUGGGGGGCCGAAAUAGAUUAAGUGAACGAGGUGUGUGGACUCUGAGAGCGGCGAAAGGGAGAGUAACGCGUAGUUACGUACCCCGGGGUCCGGAAUAGCCACGGGAAACUGUGGGUAAUGCCGGAUAACAUCCCCGGAUCAAAGGUGUGAUUCCGCCCUGGGAGCGGACUGCGUUGUACUAGCUAGUUGGUGAGGUAAUGGCUCACCAAGGCAAUGAUGCAUAGCGGGUGUGAGAGCAUGACCCGUCUCACUGGGACUGAGACACUGCCCAGACACCUACGGGUGGCUGCAGUCGAGAAUCUUCGGCAAUGCGCGCAAGCGUGACCGAGCGACGCCGUGUGUGGGAUGAAGG
Molecule: ribosomal RNA, 443 nt
Filed under: uncultured bacterium
Lineage: Bacteria
Description: bacterial SSU rRNA
Rfam family: Bacterial small subunit ribosomal RNA
Source: RNAcentral